This 467-nucleotide ribosomal RNA is filed under the name uncultured bacterium. RNAcentral describes it as "partial 16S ribosomal RNA". It matches the Rfam family "Bacterial small subunit ribosomal RNA", at positions 28 to 507 of the family's 1533-position model. The record is from RNAcentral.
GAUGAACGCUGGCGGCGUGCUUAACACUUGCAAGUCGAACGGAAAGGCCUCUGCUUGCAGGGGUACUCGAGUGGCGAACGGGUGAGUAACACGUGGGUGAUCUGCCCUGCACUUCGGGAUAAGCCUGGGAAACUGGGUCUAAUACCGGAUAGGACAAUGGUUUGGAUGCUGUUGUGGAAAGUUUUUCGGUGUGGGAUGAGCUCGCGGCCUAUCAGCUUGUUGGUGGGGUAAUGGCCUACCAAGGCGUCGACGGGUAGCCGGCCUGAGAGGGUGUACGGCCACAUUGGGACUGAGAUACGGCCCAGACUCCUACGGGAGGCAGCAGUGGGGAAUAUUGCACAAUGGGCGCAAGCCUGAUGCAGCGACGCCGCGUGGGGGAUGACGGCCUUCGGGUUGUAAACUCCUUUCGCUAGGGACGAAGCGUUUUUGUGACGGUACCUGGAGAAGAAGCACCGGCUAACUACGUG